CCUACGGGGGGCAGCAGUGAGGAAUAUUGGUCAAUGGGCGUAAGCCUGAACCAGCCAAGUCGCGUGAGGGAUGAAGGUCCUAUGGAUUGUAAACUUCUUUUAUAAGGGAAUAAAGUGCGGGACGUGUGCCGUUUUGUAUGUACUUUAUGAAUAAGGAUCGGCUAACUCCGUGCCAGCAGCCGCGGUAAUACGGAGGAUCCGAGCGUUAUCCGGAUUUAUUGGGUUUAAAGGGAGCGUAGACGGGCUGUUAAGUCAGAUGUGAAAGUCUGCGGCUCAACCAUAAAAUUGCAAUUGAUACUGGCAGGCUUGAGUAUGUUUGAGGUAGGCGGAAUGCGUGGUGUAGCGGUGAAAUGCUUAGAUAUCACGAAGAACCCCGAUUGCGAAGGCAGCCUACUAAGC
Molecule: ribosomal RNA, 399 nt
Filed under: uncultured bacterium
Lineage: Bacteria
Description: partial 16S ribosomal RNA
Rfam family: Bacterial small subunit ribosomal RNA
Source: RNAcentral